AGCCUUGAGGUGUUCCACAUAUAAGAUUGCAAAUCUUAAGUAGCAGAGUAAGAUCUGCCGGGGCUU
Molecule: transfer RNA, 66 nt
Filed under: Sicyopterus stimpsoni
Lineage: Eukaryota; Metazoa; Chordata; Actinopteri; Gobiiformes; Gobiidae
Description: tRNA-Cys
Source: RNAcentral